This 190-nucleotide ribosomal RNA is filed under the name Anoplocephala magna. RNAcentral's name for it is "partial 28S ribosomal RNA". Lineage: Eukaryota; Metazoa; Platyhelminthes; Cestoda; Cyclophyllidea; Anoplocephalidae. The record is from RNAcentral.
GCGGCAGUUUUGCUGUUAGGCAAUGUGGUGUGCGGGUCGGUUAGCGGGACCGUCACUCCACUCGAAGUCCAGCAUUGAGUAUGGUUAUCACUGGAUUUGGCCCAUAGAGGGUGAGAGGCCCGUACGAGUGGAGGUUCAGAUAUGUGCGACGGUUCACUAGGCCGGCCUCAGAGUCGGGUUGUUUGAGAUG